AACGCGAAGAACCUUACCCAGACUUGACAUACACGUGACAGUUCCAGAAAUGGAAUCUUCCUUCGGGACACGUGAACAGGUGCUGCAUGGCUGUCGUCAGCUCGUGCCGUGAGGUGUUGGGUUAAGUCCCGCAACGAGCGCAACCCUUAUCAUUAGUUGCCAACAUUUAAGGUGGGAACUCUAAUGAGACUGCCUGGGUUAACCAGGAGGAAGGUGAGGAUGACGUCAAGUCCGCAUGGCCCUUAUGUCUGGGGCUACACACGUGCUACAAUGGACGGUACAGAAGGCAGCGAAGCCGCGAGGUGGAGCAAAUCCCAAAAGCCGUCCUCAGUUCAGAUUGUAGUCUGCAACUCGACUACAUGAAGACGGAAUUGCUAGUAAUGGCAGGUCAGCAACACUGCCGUGAAUACGUUCCCGGGCCUUGUACACACUGCUACAGU
RNAcentral lists this ribosomal RNA (440 nucleotides) under uncultured bacterium. RNAcentral's name for it is "bacterial SSU rRNA". It matches the Rfam family "Bacterial small subunit ribosomal RNA", at positions 958 to 1401 of the family's 1533-position model. The record is from RNAcentral.